AGGGAACUCAAAAUAGGUGUGUGGCCUCUAGUCACCAAAUGGCUUCUUGGCUCUGCUUUAAAUUUAGGCCCACUCAGCCACUUAAGGUCCAUCUUGAAGGACUGGCUCUUUCAGGGUCACAUUUGUUCAUGCAAACUAUUGAUAUUGCAUGCUAUUUACCACUAUUUCAGAUGAAAUUGCCACAGGAUUUAAAUCAUUGGACAAUUUAAGAGAGCAAAGGCUUUUGGAAGCUGCCAGAGUUUCAUUCCCAGGUCCUCCACUUACCAGCAAUGAGACUUCAUGUGACCUCAGCAUCUAACCAGAGUAUGCUGGUCGUAACUGGAAAACCAACAGAGGCCAGGCGCGGUGGCUCAUACCUGCAAUCCCAGCACUUUGGGAGGCCGAGGCGGGUGGAUCACGUGAAGUCAGGAGUUCGAGACCAGCCUGACCAACAUGGUAAAACCUCAUCUCUACUAAAGAAAAUACAACAUGGGGGCAUGUGCCUCUGUAAUCCCAGCCACUUGGGAGGCUGAGGCAGGAGAAUCUCAUGAACCCGGGAGGCGGAGGUUACAGUGAGCUGAGAUGGUGCCACUGCUCUCCAGGCUGGAUAAGUGAGACUCUGCCUCAAAAAAAAAAAAAAAAAGGCAGAUGAGUUUUAAAGGCACAGUGCUUUUGGCCUUCUUCAGUCCAACAGCACAAGGCACACAAAGUAUCAAUGCCAUAUGAAGUCCUACUAUUAGACCUCAGGCCUCUAAUAGCACCGCUACUGUUUGUCACUGUAGCAAUCCUAAAGUACAACCUGACUCCUGAGCUGCUCCUGAUGCAGUAAAGGUUCCACCCUGUGUAGUCCUGCAUGGUGACAGAUACACCAUAACAGAGUCCUUAUUAAAAAG
Molecule: long non-coding RNA, 872 nt
Organism: Gorilla gorilla gorilla (western lowland gorilla)
Lineage: Eukaryota; Metazoa; Chordata; Mammalia; Primates; Hominidae
Exons: 3
Source: RefSeq, a predicted model, not a curated record